UACGUAGGGGGCAAGCGUUGUCCGGAAUCAUUGGGCGUAAAGCGCACGUAGGCGGCCCGGUAAGUCCGUUGUGAAAGUCAGAGGCUCAACCUCUGGAGGCCAAUGGAUACUGCCGGGCUAGAGUCCGGAAGAGGCGAGUGGAAUUCCUGGUGUAGCGGUGGAAUGCGCAGAUAUCAGGGGGAACACCGGUGGCGAAGGCGGAUCUCUGGGCCUUACCUGACGCUGAGGCGCGAAAGCUAGGGGAGCGAACAGG
RNAcentral lists this ribosomal RNA (253 nucleotides) under uncultured bacterium. RNAcentral's name for it is "partial 16S ribosomal RNA". It matches the Rfam family "Bacterial small subunit ribosomal RNA", at positions 524 to 776 of the family's 1533-position model. The record is from RNAcentral.